CUGGAAGGGCGGAGAAUCGCUCUCGUGCCGCGCGAGCGGGGCGGGGGAGGAAAGUCCGAACACCACAGGGCGCGAUGCCGCGUAACCCGGCCACCGGAUUCCCGGCGGCGCUUGAGGAUACACGCGGGCGGCGACGCCGCGAGGCGUCCCGACGGAUAGUGCCACAGAAAACAAACCGCCGGCCGUGAAGUUCACGGCGGGUAAGGGUGAAAAGGUGGGGUAAGAGCCCACCGCUCGGCGCGCAAGCAACGAGGCACGGAAAACCCCAUCGGGUGCAAGGCCAAAUAGGGGACGGCGAAGCGGCCCGCUUCCGUUCCGCGCGAGUGGAACGCGUCCCGGGUACUGGCUGCUUAGACAAAUGAUUCUCUCCCCCGAACGCUUCGGGGCAGACAGAAUUCGGCUUACAGCCCUUCCGGAACC
Molecule: RNase P RNA, 420 nt
Filed under: Verrucomicrobiota bacterium
Lineage: Bacteria; Pseudomonadati; Verrucomicrobiota
Description: Verrucomicrobia bacterium (wastewater metagenome) RNase P RNA component class A
Rfam family: Bacterial RNase P class A
About the family: Ribonuclease P (RNase P) is a ubiquitous endoribonuclease, found in archaea, bacteria and eukarya as well as chloroplasts and mitochondria. Its best characterised activity is the generation of mature 5'-ends of tRNAs by cleaving the 5'-leader elements of precursor-tRNAs. Cellular RNase Ps are ribonucleoproteins.
Source: RNAcentral